UGGCCUACAGUCUCAACUGUGUAUUAACUGUCCUUUACAGAAAGCUUGUGACCCUGUUCUAAACUGUUUCUCACUCUUGCCACUGGCUUGACAGUAGCUGUUUAGUUACUGGUGCAGGGAUGUGCAUGUGUGGAGGGAAGGCCAUUCUCCCUUGGUUUAUAGCUGAAAAUAGGUCAUCCUGCUGUGAAGUCUGAAUGUUUCUCCUUAUUCUACAAAAUACAAAAGAGAUGCACACGAAAAGAAGGUUCAGAAAAUGGUUACCAGGACCCUUAGAAGAAGAAGAGAAGCAUUCCACGUUUAUUGAUUUGAUUAAAUCAUGCAAAGAGGAGUUGGACAGAAAACAAUUUGUUUCAAACUGAAGGCAGUGCUGCCCUGUCGGUGGGCCACCCGGCUUUCUGAACCUGGGGAAAGAGCUUUUAAAGCCACAUGUGAUCGGGUCUGCAGGUUUCUUCAAGUUCCACUUGCACGUUCUACUUGCAGAAACUGUCCGAAGCGUUGCAUAAAAGCACGGUUAUGGAAUGGCUUGCCUCCAGCUACUCCUUUGUCUCAUUUACGUUGGAACUUUGCUCUUGGUGUUGGAUGUUGGGCACUGUCCUUCUCUGGGCAACCUUGGCUCCCUCCCUUCACCACAAUUCAAGCUCUUGCUAGCUUUUCUUCUCCAGGCCACAUUGUUGCAGCAACCUGCCUGAUUCUCCUCUCCCCUGGCUCUGCCUCAGCUUCACUGCCCUCCCAGUGUCAGGGCCCCAUGAAGCUUCCGUGUGUCCUUGAGGGGGAAACUGAAACCUAGGGGCUGAUGGAAUCUAAAGUAUAGAAUGUUAGACGUGAAAAUCCCAUAUCAAUCGCUCAGAAAGGGGGUUGCAAGUCAGGAGAGAGCGGAAGUGUGGAUCAAGAUCAAUGCUUUUAAAAGGCAGGAAACAAUCAGCAGGAGAACUGCAGAUUUAAAUGCAUUUUGAAGCACAGACUAAUGGGAUGUCAGCAGGACCCGUGGGCACCUUAGUGAUGGGUCCUGUUGUUGAAUGCCUGAGACACAGAGUCUGGGGCGAUGGAUGGUUGAGAGAGGGAUUGGGAGGGAUGGAGAUGGGGAGGAUGGCACGGAAAAAAAAGUUUGGGGGGAUGUACUACAUUGCAUGAGAAGUAGCCAGGAGUGGAAAGAGAGGAAUUUGGAGUCUGAUACACAGCACCAACAGGUCUCCCUCACCUCUGCUCUGUUAUUUGUCACAAGGGGAAGAAAUACCUACCCCAGGGCCACUGUGAGGACCAAAGAAAGCAAGGCACCUAGCACAGCUCCUGGCAGACAGCAGGCCCCUCCGGUCUUUCCUGCUUCCAGCUCCCUCCUCACAGCUUUUGACAUGUCCCACAAGGACUCGCACAGCGCCUGCAGAGUCGGGGGCUGGGUUCAUCCACUCUGUAAGGGUGGAUCCCAUCCCUCUGGAGCUGUGGUGCCCACCUCCGUGACCAGGUUGGGCUGAGACCUGUGACUUCAGAUGCCGUGGUGACCCGGGAGCUUGUGGCUCCUGCUCCAGCCCAGCGCCCGGCCAGAGCAGACCUGGCGGAGCUGCAGCGCCUGCCCUGGGCCUUGCCAGCUGUGUGCAUUUGCUUCAGAGCCUCAGAGUCAAAGGAGUCAUUCCGUCUUAUCUUGAUGCAUUUACUCUAAAGGUGCGGCGGAUGCAGCCUCCUCUUGCUGAUGCCGGUCGUGCUGCCUAGACCCUCGCUUCCGCCCGGAAACGCUCAACCCCUCGGCUGCUGGGACGUUGGUGGCUGAUGGCUCUCAGAUCACCGCCCACUCUCUUCUUUACCAGUUUGUGGCUGGUGCUGAGGAGUGUGAGAUAAAGAGCUGGCUGAAACCACUGAUGCCAUGUUACUGCUCAGGCUGGAAGAAGCCAAGACGCACAGUGCACAUUGGGGGCCUCUAGUGAUUUUCAGAGACAUCUGCGUGGCCUUCAAGACGGGGGAACAGCCUGGACUACAGCGUGAGGUAGGCAGUUGCCCAGCACAGCUGACUUUCACUCAUGUCCUCAGUCCUUGAGUUUCAAACCAGGGGCUCUGUUCUCCGUGACCCGUUAUAACUGGGGUCUUCUAUUUCAGGCCCUCGGAGCUCCACACAGAUGUCACUUUUUCCAGGAAGCACUCCUUGACCCGCCAAGGCUGGGCCAGCACCUAUCUGUGGGACCCCUCAGGACUGUGUACAGAGCCUGCAGCCAGCAUUCUCCCACCGAACUGUAACUGCCUGUUUGUCUCCUCCACUGGACUGUGAGUUCCUCGAAGGCAGGGGACUGUCCUGACCAUCUCUGAAUCCCCCACGCCAGUGAUGUCAUACCACCAAAUAGAAGACAUUCCAGUGUUUGUUAAAGGGACGGAUACCAAUGCCGUGAUGUCGUGCAUAUGAAAUAGAAAGCAAAAAGUUGUGGAUGUGGGCAACAGAAAGAGAAAAAGGACAGCGGAAAAAAAAUGUGACAAUGAAUAUAUGUAUGUUCAUGUAUAACUGAAAAAUUGUGCUCUACACUGGAGUUUGACACAACAUUGUAAAAUGACUGUAACUCAAUAAAAAAAUGUUUAAAAAAAAAAGAAAGAGAAAAAGGAAAAAUUAGAACGUGAGCGGGGCUGAGCGUUGAUAAGCAAGAGGAGAGUGAGUGGGGUGUCAGGAGAGGCGGGAGUCCCCCUGAUGAGCUAUGUACGCGAGUGUGAGUGUGUGUCCCCGACCCGUGGACUGGGACUCAGCACGCACGCCCACCCACCAGCAACCCAGACCCAUACCCGUCGGCUCUUGCCCAAACAGUGUCACAUUUAGUGCUUCCAGACCACCAAGACUGCCGGUACUGAUUCAGAGGAAGCAGUGUAAACUUGGCCAAACCCAAACAGGAAAGAGAGAGACUCCCUCUUACCUUCUAGCUCAUCAAGCUCAAGUGUCUUCUAAGGGGAUUCGCUGAUUUUGUUUACUCUGCUCAUCACCCCCACCCACCCCUCAGGGUGCCCUCCCUGCACGCACGCAGAGCCUGCACUGAGCUGGGGGCGCGGGAGGGGGGCAGGUGCCAAUAAUAACAACUCAACAGCGUAACUACAGUGACUCGAGGGCUGACUGUGUGUCCACUGCCGGCUCAGCGCUGACACACGGUAUCUCA
This is a long non-coding RNA of Camelus dromedarius (Arabian camel), 3119 nucleotides long. RefSeq lists it as uncharacterized. NCBI's taxonomy places the organism in Eukaryota, Metazoa, Chordata, Mammalia, Artiodactyla, Camelidae. The transcript is spliced from 4 exons. The record is from RefSeq and is a predicted model, not a curated record.